This 367-nucleotide RNase MRP RNA is filed under the name Vanderwaltozyma polyspora DSM 70294. RNAcentral's name for it is "RNase MRP". It matches the Rfam family "RNase MRP". Rfam says of the family: RNase MRP is an enzymatically active ribonucleoprotein with two distinct roles in eukaryotes. In mitochondria it plays a direct role in the initiation of mitochondrial DNA replication. In the nucleus it is involved in precursor rRNA processing, where it cleaves the internal transcribed spacer 1 between 18S and 5.8S rRNAs. Lineage: Eukaryota; Fungi; Ascomycota; Saccharomycetes; Saccharomycetales; Saccharomycetaceae. The record is from Rfam by way of RNAcentral.
UCCAUGGCUGAAGAAUCGUCACUAGUCGAAGUUUGCAAAUGGAGUGGUAUUUUAUAUGCUACUCAAUAUCUUUAUUUAAAAAUUAAACUUUGGGUAGAAAGUCUCCCACCUGUUCAUAUGCGGAAAACGUAAUGAGAUUUAAAAAUUUUAAAUUCUUUAAAUCAACUCAUUAAAAGUGAUAGAUGAGGAAAGGUCACCUUUUCUUAUUUAUUCAUUUUUUUGGACUAUUGAUUUGUAACAAAUCAAUAGUUUUUUCGGUACUGAAAUUGGUUUUUCAAUUUCAAACGAUAGUUAUGACGAUUGCCUUGUUAAUGGGAUUUAUUUCAUUACAUGGUAACCCAAUGGAGCUUACUUUCUUAGCUCAUGG